UGCAGUCUGGAACUCUAGUGCCCCAACCG
This 29-nucleotide non-coding RNA is filed under the name Mus musculus (house mouse). Lineage: Eukaryota; Metazoa; Chordata; Mammalia; Rodentia; Muridae. The record is from RNAcentral.